Molecule: ribosomal RNA, 253 nt
Filed under: uncultured bacterium
Lineage: Bacteria
Description: partial 16S ribosomal RNA
Rfam family: Bacterial small subunit ribosomal RNA
Source: RNAcentral
UACGAAGGGGGCUAGCGUUGUUCGGAUUUACUGGGCGUAAAGCGCAUGUAGGCGGGCCGAUAAGUUGGGGGUGAAAGCCCGGAGCUCAACUCCGGAACUGCCUUCAAAACUGCCGGCCUGGAGCAGAUGAGAGGCGAGUGGAAUUCCGAGUGUAGAGGUGAAAUUCGUAGAUAUUCGGAGGAACACCAGUGGCGAAGGCGACUCGCUGGCAUCUUGCUGACGCUGAGAUGCGAAAGCGUGGGGAGCAAACAGG